GAUGAAGAACGUAGUGAAAUGCGAUAAGUAAUGUGAAUUGCAGAAUUCAGUGAAUCAUCGAAUUUUUGAACGCAUAUUGCGCCCUUUGGUAUUCCAAUGGGCACAUCCGUUCGAGCGUCAUUACAACAUUCAGGCCCUGCCUGGUAUUGGGAGCCGCCCGUAAAAGGGCGCUCCUCAAACGCUUCGGCGUCGCCGACCGUCCUCUAGCGCAGCGAGAAACUUAUUUCUAGCGUUAAAAGAGGCGGUCCCCGACCCGCCGAAACCUCUUUACUCUUUCAAUGUUUGACCUCGGAUCGGAUGGGGAUACCCGCUGAACUUAAGCAUAUCAAUAAGCGGAGGA
Molecule: unclassified non-coding RNA, 340 nt
Filed under: soil metagenome
Description: partial contains 5.8S ribosomal RNA, internal transcribed spacer 2, and large subunit ribosomal RNA
Rfam family: 5.8S ribosomal RNA (bases 1-120)
Source: RNAcentral